This is a long non-coding RNA of Prionailurus viverrinus (fishing cat), 1658 nucleotides long. RefSeq lists it as uncharacterized. The transcript is spliced from 4 exons. Lineage: Eukaryota; Metazoa; Chordata; Mammalia; Carnivora; Felidae. The record is from RefSeq and is a predicted model, not a curated record.
GGCUCCUCCCAGCACCCCUCCCCCGGGCCCUGGCUGGACGAGAAACAGAGAUGGUGGCAGCAGAAACUGGAGCCCCGGCGCCGGAGCGGCCGCGAGGGGCCGGGGCCUUUGAGGGCUUCGCUGCUUCUUGCCAAGGGCCGAGAAAGUGUGUAGAAUUGAAGGGAAGAAGUUCCGGAGAGCCAGAAACUUCCGGAAGCACUUGAUUCCACGAUUAAAGACUACCCGGCUCUACUGCUCACCCGCUGUGUGGCUUUGGGGAAGUUACUUGGGGACUUCAGUUUUCUCUGAAAAACCGGCAACUCGGGUCACGUUUUUUUCCCAAGCUCAAUCAUUCAGAGAAGAGAGGAAAUCUGGCGGUCAGGUUGCUCCCGGAGGAUAGAGGGGAGAUGGGUUGCAGGAGGAGUGAGGUGUGUGGCAGAAAGAAGAAUCCUGGCUGGUGCAGAGCAUCGGAGUCGCAAAAGCCAGGAGCACGUUUCCAGGGGUCUAUGGCUGUCUCCACCGUUGCCCAGAGCUCAGCCACAGGCCCGUUAGCAGAAGAAAGCAUCGUUUGUGAAGACCUGAAGAAGAGCUCAAGAAUGAGUAGCAAAUUUAGGGCAGCCCUGAGGAAGAACUUAAUGCCAGUGAAUGAAUGCUCUCAGGAUCUAGUCAAUCUCCUGCUUAAAGCUAUUCGGUGGCUACUGAAUGACUAUUCCUCAUGAUCCACAUUCCUGGACCCUGCGUGAUCUGGCCUCGUCUUACACGUUGCCCGUUCUUCAACUUUAACCUUUAGGAAUACUGAACCAUUUGUUCACCUGCACACACAUAGCUUUUCAUGGGUUGCGUCUGCUCAUCUCCAACUCAGUUUGCCUAGGAACUCCUACUCAUUUGGCAGUGCUCUGUUCAGACGUAGAUUCUGUGAGGGUUUCUCUGACCUGUUCCUACCCUCAGGACAAAGAGUCUGUCAGCUCCACUGUAAUGGACUGUGUCCACUAUUCUAGUCACCCCUGAACCCCCGCCCUGCAUUGAUUGAAUGGAUUCCUUUCUUAGCCUGACUCCUGUGUCAUGUACAUUAUUUAUCAUUGUUCCCAUUACACUAUAUGUGUUUAUAUAAUUGUGCAACCCCUCAGCUAUGCUCAGAAGGAUAGAAAGAUUCAUUCUGUUUCUAGAAAUUCUUCCUGUGGAAGAUGCUCUUGUUGCCUCCUCAAGAGGGAAUAACCCUGCGGUCUUUGCUAACAGACCUUGGUCUUGUUCAAGGAGCCAUGUGCCCAGAGAUACCUCUGCCAGUGACUGGUUGAGGAGUGGUCUACUUCUGACCAAUGAGACACAAAGGACUAGUCUUUAGGGGGCUUCUGGAAAAGUUUGUCUGCUUGAAAAGAAGAAAUGAGAGAAGAAAAAAUGGCCCCUUGUACACCUUUCCUUCUCUUCCUGUUUGGGACACUAUUUUAUGAGGGUGUGAUAUUUGGAGCUGUGACACCCAUCUUUGACCAUGAGACAAAGGUCAAGAGAAGCACAGAUACAUGGAUCCCGCAUCAUGGCAUUAUGGAGGAACUAAACAAACCCCAGACCCCCGCUACCUUCCAACCUGUUGUUAUGUGAGGUAAUUAAAUGACCUGCUUGCUUAAGACACAAUUUAUUGGGGGAGGGGGGGAGAGACACAAUUAGUUGGCUUUUCUGAUAUU